RNAcentral lists this ribosomal RNA (924 nucleotides) under uncultured bacterium. RNAcentral's name for it is "bacterial SSU rRNA". It matches the Rfam family "Bacterial small subunit ribosomal RNA", at positions 104 to 1034 of the family's 1533-position model. The record is from RNAcentral.
GGGUGAGUAAUGCUUGGGAAUUUGCCUAGUAGUGGGGGACAACACGGGGAAACUCGUGCUAAUACCGCAUACGCCCUACGGGGAAAGCGGGGGAUCUUCGGACCUCGCGCUAUUAGAUGAGCCCAAGUCCGAUUAGCUUAUUGGUGAGGUAAAGGCUCACCAAGGCUACGAUCGGUAGCUGGUCUGAGAGGACGAUCAGCCACACUGGGACUGAGACACGGCCCAGACUCCUACGGGAGGCAGCAGUGGGGAAUAUUGGACAAUGGGCGCAAGUGAUCCAGCAAUGCCGCGUGUGUGAAGAAGGCCUGCGGGUUGUAAAGCACUUUCAGUAGAGAAGAAAAGCCUAGGGUUAAUACCCCUGAGUCUUGACGUAACCUACAGAAGAAGCACCGGCUAACUUCGUGCCAGCAGCCGCGGUAAUACGGAGGGUGCGAGCGUUAAUCGGAAUUACUGGGCGUAAAGCGCGCGUAGGGGUUUUGUAAGUCGGAUGUGAAAUCCCCGGGCUUAACCUGGGAACUGCAUUCGAUACUGCAUAACUAGAGUAUGGUAGAGGGAAGUGGAAUUUCCGGUGUAGCGGUGAAAUGCGUAGAUAUCGGAAGGAACACCAGUGGCGAAGGGACUUCCUGGGCCAAUACUGACGCUGAGGUGCGAAAGGUGGGGAGCAAACAGGAUUAGAUACCCUGGUAGUCCACGCCGUAAACGAUGAGAACUAGAUGUUGGGAGGGUUGCCUCUCGGUGUCGCAGCUAACGCGUUAAGUUCUCCGCCUGGGGAGUACGCCGGCAACGUAAAACUCAAGGAAUUGACGGGGACCCGCACAAGCGUGGAGCAUGUGGUUUAAUUCGAUGCAACGCGAAGAACCUUACCUGCCCUUGACAUCCUCAGAACUUGUUAGAGAUAACUUGGUGCCUUCGGGAAUUGAGUGA